UUCGAAUGUGAUUUAUUUCUUUGAUUAUUAAUAGUUAUGAUCUUUAAAAUUAAAAAAUUUGGCGGUAUUUUAGUCUGUUCAGAGGAACCUGUUUUUUAAUUGAUAGUCCACGAUAAUUUUUACUUUAGUUUUUAGUUUGCAUAUCGUCGUUUAUAAAAAUUUUAGGAGAAUUGUAAUUUUUUGGAUAUUUGAUUAGAUAGUAUUUCAGAUCAAGGUGUAGUUUAUAUUGAAGUUAGAAUGGGUUACAUUAUAUUUAUGUGUGGUUUUAUUAUUUAAAUUUUUAAUUAAAAUGGAUUUGAGAGUAAUUUUCUUAUUUUUGGAAUUUGAUUUAGCUCUAAAAUAUGU
This 345-nucleotide ribosomal RNA is filed under the name Cerenopus concolor. Its description in RNAcentral is "partial 12S ribosomal RNA". Lineage: Eukaryota; Metazoa; Arthropoda; Insecta; Coleoptera; Tenebrionidae. The record is from RNAcentral.